Lotus japonicus is the source of this 3057-nucleotide RNA transcript. It is a transcript of the gene named pentatricopeptide repeat-containing protein At3g57430, chloroplastic-like, with no coding region annotated. Lineage: Eukaryota; Viridiplantae; Streptophyta; Magnoliopsida; Fabales; Fabaceae. The transcript has 5 exons. The record is from RefSeq and is a predicted model, not a curated record.
UUAUGAAGAGAAUCAAAGAGAUAUGUAAAGAAAAAAGAGAAUUAAAGAUGCAUGAUUAGUGAUGAUGUAAUAGGAAAAGAAGUGAGAGAUGUGCUCGAGCAUGCGAAGGAGAUGAAUCUUCCUCCGGAGACUCUAGUGUUGUAGCAAAUUUUAGAAUUAUUGUCUCGAAGUUGGGGGAUGAACGUAGUUUAGAUUCCUCGUGGUGGAAAUGGUGUAGUGAAUUGGUUGCUAGGAAAGGAGCUUAUAGUCCACCGACAACCAUCAGGGUGGUUGAUAGACCUGAUGCAGAGUUGGAAACAAUUCUGUUGAAAGGCUCAUUAUCAGUUCUUUAAUGUGUUCGUUUCUUGUUAGUUUUCUCAAGGGAAAAAAAAACUUCAGUCCUAAAAAUUAUUUUUUUACUGUUCUAAAUUAUGUUCAAUAACAUAAAAAAAAUGCAUUAGUUAGAGGCAAUAUUUUGCAUCCGUUGAACGUUGAAACAAUACAACUACAUGCGUGACUGUAAUGUCACGGAUAUUGUUAUCAUCACUGCUUCGGAGCUGCGCCACCCAUUGCGCCGCCGCACAAUGCCACGCCCAAAGCGUGCUCCAAGCUCUACUCCCCAAUGUCACUCUCGAAACCGACCUCUUACUAGCCUACUCCAGGUUGGGCCUUCUGGGCCACGCUCGCAAACUGUUCGACAAAAUGCCUGAAAGAAACAUGCACUCCUGGAACAUCAUGAUCGCUUCCUACGCCCAAAGUUCCAUGUAUUCUGAUGCAUUAACGGUUUUUCGCGCGUUCAGGCGCUGUGGCCUGAGACCCGACCAUUACACAUUGCCGCCGUUGUUCAAAGCUUCUUUGGGAGCUGGUGAAGAUUGUGUGGGAACCGUGUGUCAUUGUUUGGUGAUCAAGCUCGGGUACGAGAGAUACGUUGUUGUAACUAACUCUGUGCUGGAGUUUUACCUCAAAUGUGGGACCAUGUCUCAGGCUUUGUGCCUGUUUCCCAAAGAUAAUGCUGAAAGGGAUUCAGUGACAUGGAAUUUGAUGAUCUCGGGGUUUGGAAGGGCAGGUUUGUAUGCAGAUGCUGUGCAUUGUUUCAGAGAAAUGUUGCAGCAUCAGAAUCGGAUGAAGGUGGAUUAUAUGACACUUCCUAGCAUUUUGAGUGCUUGUGGAAGGGAAGGGGAUUUGUUGAAAGUAAAGGAAGUGCAUGGCUUUGUUGUGAGGAGCUUUGGUUUUGAUGCUGAUGCUCCCACUGGGAAUGCGUUGAUUGAUAGUUAUGGCAAGUGUGGAUGUUUGAAUUAUGUGGAGAAGGUUUUCAGGACCAUGGGACAAGUGAAUUUGGUGACGUGGACAACUAUGAUAUCUUGUUAUGGAAUGCAUGGAAAGGGAGAUGAAUCAGUUUUGCUGUUUGAGAAGAUGGUGGAUGAAGGGUUUAGACCGAAUGCUGUUACAAUAACGGCAAUCUUAGCCAGUUGUAGCCACUCUGGUCUGAUAGAUCAAGGCAAGAAGAUUUUCAGCUCUAUGAAUUCAGAUUAUGGAUUUGAGCCCACUGCUGAGCAUUAUGCUUGUAUGGUGGAUCUUUUUGGCCGCUGUGGGUGUCUUGAGGAAGCUCUUCGGUUGUUGGAAAGAAUGAAGUCAUCAUCAGUGACAGGAAGCAUGUGGGGCGCCCUUCUUGCUGGCUGUGUGAUGCACAAAAAUGUUGAAAUUGGAGAAGUUGCGGCUCGUCAUCUUUUUCAGUUAGAACCGAAUAAUCCUAGCAACUAUGUUGCUUUGUGUGGUAUCUAUCAAUCUCGUGGUAUGGUUGAUGGCUUUUCAUCUGUUAGAUCAAAGAUGAGGGGUUUAGGCUUAAUUAAAACUCCUGGUUGUAGCUGGAUCAAUAUUGCAGGAAGGGCUCAUAAAUUCUACCAAGGAGAUCUUUCGCAUCCACUUGCUCAUAUGAUUUUCAAGAUAAUAUAUGAAAUUAGCAACAUUCAGUUAAUGACUAAUGGUUUGGGACUAGGAAAUCUGCUACAUGAUGAUGAUACCAUGUUCGUGGGUUUGUAGAGCAUUUUAUCCAGUUCAUCUGAUUAGAGCCAGGCAGGGAUCGCCAUUAAAGGUGUCAAGACUUGAGGCUCUUUCAUCUCGAAGCUUAUAAAUGAUUUCACCUGAAAUUGUUAUCAUUUAAUUUCAGUGCAUGCCAUUACAUAGAAGUGCUCGAAAAUUGUAGAUGUUGGAAGGUGAAGAUGACCGUUUUAAAUUGUCUGUUUAUAAUAAGGAUUUCCUCAUAAUACAACUGACUUCGUAGCAGUACUGAAACUUCUCUCUUUCCAAGUGUUUGGGACUUGAGUUUUUAUUGAAGAAUUUUUAUGGCAAGUUGGAUCCUAAUUCCACUGAUGAUCAUCUGAGGAAAAAUUUUACUGUAUGGAGAAUAGGUUAGUGUGAAGAUUCUAGCAGGCAACAAUGUGGAUUGUCCAAUUUGCAAACAGGAACCACUCUCAAUAUUGUGCCUUGAUUUUUCAUGCAUCAGGAGCUUGCACAGAAGAGGCAUUGUAAAUUUUAAAUGGAAUGCAGUUGGGAGGACAAUUUUUUCCCGUCUUUCAUGGGGCCGCAGUCCUUCAAACAAACACUUAAUUUAUAUCUACUAAUUGUUGUAAUGUAACUCUGUACUGACUUGCCAUUGUCUUUCCGAUUCUCUUCCAUGACUGCAUGCUGUGUUUCUCAGGCUCUGAUAGAUUCAAACCAGAGAAUGGUGCUGGUGGAUAUUAUGGAUAUCCUCAAGGUGUGAAAAUUAUGGGGUAUGCAAGUAACCAACCACCAUAGAAACAGCAGCAAAUAUAAUGUAGCUGAAUCUCACUGCUCAUAUUUCUGUUCUUUUGUAAUCGUAUGAACAUUGAAAUUGAAAUUUCAUGGGAAACACCUUUUGUAUACAUAAAAUAUAACUUGCUGAAUACUUAUUUGAUAUUAUAAGAGGAUAUAAAAAAAUAGUUAGUUAGCUUGUUAUAGGGUGGUUACAACUUACAAUUCUGUGACUUAGCUAGCUUUCUUAAUCAAUUUUCCUUAUGGCAACUCAUAUAUAUAUACAUGACCUACUUGUAUUGUUCA